AUGCUCCCCGCCCCAACUCCGGCCGCCGAGACAGCCAUCUGCCCGCCGUCGCCGCCGCCUCCUCCUCCUCCCGUCCUCCUACCCGCCAAAGCCCUAGACCUCAUGUGGCGCCGCCUACCCUCCCGCCGCCUCGCCUCCGCCCUCCUCUCCGCCUCCGCGCCGCAGCUUCCCCCUCCUCCUCUCCACCGCCUACUCCUUCCAGCCCCAGCUGCUGCCCCCGGAAUCCUCCCUCCGGCGCGCCUCCUGUGGGGGCAGCCACCCUCGCGAUUCGCGUCGUCCUCCGCUGCGGCCGCCGAGGCCGUCUCCUCCGAGGAGGUGGACGAGCCGCACCACGCGCCCGAGGAGAUUGUCCGCUUGGGCCCCAAUACAAAGCUGCCUGUGGCGGAGGCUGCAACCGCAGGUCAGGCGGGGAAGAAGGAGCGGAGGAGGGGGCGCGGGCAGGGGAGGCAGCUGGCAGAGUUGGCGGCGGAGCAUGGCAUUGGGUACUCCAAGUACGUCUCACUGCGCCAGCGGCAAAUCCGGAUCGAGACCGAGGCGUGGGAGCAGGCGGCUAAGGAGUACCGCGAGCUGCUCGCCGACAUGUGCGAGCAUAAGCUGGCGCCCAACCUGCCCUAUGUCAAGUCACUCUUCCUUGGCUGGUUUGAGCCACUGAGGGACCAGAUCAUCGCUGAGCAGGAGCUUGUCAGCCAGCGUGGGACACGCGCCUCCCACGCCCCGUAUUUUAACAUGCUUCCGGCCGACAUGAUGGCCGUUAUCACCAUGCACAAGCUCAUGGGGCUGCUUAUGACCGGCAGUGGCGAUGGAAGCGUCCGUGUGAUCCAGGCCGCUUGCCAGAUAGGUGAAGCAGUUGAGCAUGAGGUUCGAAUCCACAAAUUUCUAGAGAAGACAAAGAAAAAGAACACUAAAGAAGUAGAUAAAGUAGUAGAAGCAGUGGAUGCAGAUAUUGCCAAAGAACAAGAGCGUUUAAGAAAGAAAGUCACUGAUCUGAUGAAAAAGCAGAAGAUACGGCAAGUCAGGCAUUUAGUGAAGAAGCAAGAUAGCACCAGGCCAUGGGGUCAAGAUGCUCAUGCAAAAGUUGGCAGCCGUUUGAUUGAGCUAUUUAUUGAAACGGCCCAUAUACAACCACCUGCUAGUCAGUCUGGAGAUAGUACACCUGAAAUCCGACCUGCUUUCACACAUGAAAUGAGAACUGUGGCAAGAGAACAACAGAAAAGUCGACGAUAUGGUGUGAUCAAGUGCGAUCCACUGGUUCGACAAGGCCUGGAUAGAACAGCAAAGCAUAUGGUCAUACCUUACAUGCCUAUGUUGAUUCCGCCAAUCAAUUGGACUGGAUAUGACAAGGGUGCACAUUUAUUUUUGCCAUCCUACGUGAUGCGCACCCAUGGAGCUAGGCAACAAAGGGAGGCUGUAAAAAAGGCUCCAAAGGAACAGAUGCAAACAAUUUUUGAGGCCUUAGAUAAUCUUGGGAGCACCAAGUGGAGGGUCAACAAAAAAGUUCUUAGUAUUGUUGACAGAAUUUGGUCCAGUGGUGGCCGACUUGCUGACUUGGUUGAUCGUGCUGACGUUUCCCUACCGAAGAAGCCUGACACUGAAGAUGAAGCUGAGCUGAAGAAGUGGAGGUGGAGCAUGAGGUCAGCCAAGAAGGAAAACAGUGAAAGGCAUUCUCAGAGAUGUGAUGUUGAGCUUAAACUUGCCGUAGCUCGCAAAAUGAAGGAAGAAGCGGGGUUUUACUAUCCACACAACCUUGAUUUUAGAGGCCGUGCUUACCCAAUGCAUCCUUACCUGAAUCACUUGGGUUCAGAUCUUUGUCGUGGAGUGUUGGAGUUUUCUGAAGGUCGACCACUUGGUGAAUCAGGCUUGCGCUGGCUGAAGAUACACCUAGCAAAUUUAUAUGGUGGAGGUGUAGACAAGUUGUCAUACGAUGGCCGGAUUGCAUUUACUGAGAAUCACCUGGAGGACAUAUUUGACUCAGCUAAUAGGCCUCUUGAAGGCAAGCGUUGGUGGCUUGAGGCAGAGGAUCCAUUCCAAUGCCUGGCAGUUUGCAUGGAUCUUAAUGAAGCUUUAAGAAGCCCCUCUCCAGAAACAGUGAUCUCACAUAUUCCUGUGCACCAGGAUGGUUCUUGUAAUGGCCUGCAGCACUAUGCAGCUCUUGGAAGGGAUAAGCUGGGUGCAGUUGCUGUUAACUUAGUUUCCGGAGAGAAACCUGCAGAUGUUUACUCUGGAAUAGCUGCCAGGGUGGUGGAAAUUAUGAAGAGAGAUGCACAAAAAGAUCCAGCUAAAGAUGCUGAUGCAGCACGUGCUCGUUUGUUAGUUGAUCAGGUGGAUAGGAAAUUGGUAAAACAAACAGUGAUGACAUCUGUCUAUGGUGUGACUUACGUUGGAGCACGUGAACAAAUAAAAAGAAGAUUAAAGGAGAGGGGGGUCAUUGCUGAUGACUCGGAACUUUUUGGUGCUUCAUGCUAUGCUGCUAAGGUCACGCUGACAGCACUUGGUGAGAUGUUCGAAGCUGCUCGUAGUAUCAUGACCUGGCUAGGAGACUGUGCCAAGGUUAUAGCUUGUGAAAAUGAACCUGUGAGAUGGACGACCCCUCUGGGACUUCCAGUUGUUCAACCAUAUCGCAAACUAGGGAGGCAUCUUAUUAAAACUUCGUUACAAGUCCUGACCCUUCAACGAGAAACCGACAAGGUUAUGGUGAAGCGGCAGAGGACAGCUUUCCCUCCAAACUUUGUACACUCCCUUGAUGGCUCUCAUAUGAUGAUGACUGCUGUUGCUUGCAAAAAGCAAGGCCUAUAUUUUGCAGGAGUUCAUGAUUCAUAUUGGACCCAUGCUUGUGAUGUUGAUACAAUGAACAAGAUACUUCGGGAAAAGUUUGUGGAACUGUAUGAUGCGCCUAUUUUAGAAAAUCUCUUGGAGAGCUUUGAGACAUCUUUCCCUAAAUUAAAAUUCCCACCGUUGCCAGAGAGGGGAAAUUUUGAUAUGAAGGAUGUCCUCCAGUCUACGUAUUUCUUCAACUAG
RNAcentral lists this ribosomal RNA (3015 nucleotides) under Triticum aestivum (bread wheat). RNAcentral describes it as "partial small subunit ribosomal RNA". Lineage: Eukaryota; Viridiplantae; Streptophyta; Magnoliopsida; Poales; Poaceae. The record is from RNAcentral.